Molecule: long non-coding RNA, 1141 nt
Organism: Cyprinus carpio carpio
Lineage: Eukaryota; Metazoa; Chordata; Actinopteri; Cypriniformes; Cyprinidae
Source: Ensembl
GUCACGGGGGGAUUUGAAUCAAGCGUCACUAAAAAUGGCAUUAGAAAGCUCAGGUGGUGCUACGGCGAAAAAAAUAAAUAAAUAAAUAUAGCUGCAAAUAUAACAACAGAGGAAUUUAAUUUCUUAUCACGAAGCAGCAUCGACAAUUCCCACGAUUUUUUAUAAAGUAUGUCGCACUGAUUUCAGUAUCGGACACGGUGGGAAAAACAACGUAACGCAGCACAAUAAAUCCCAACGGCACAAUCGCGCUGUGGAGGCACAAAGGGGUACACCCGCGAUUUCAAACUCACUAAAGGACGGACGGAGGCAGAAACCGUAUUACAGAGUGAACGAAGAAUAUCAAUGUUGAUUGCAAAAAAAAAAAAAAAAACCUUCCAUUUUCUUUUUGCGAUCAAUUCAAUGCUAGUGUGGGAGGCAUGCUCCCGGAUUCUGUCAUAGCUAGAAAAUACUUCUCUGGAAAGACUAAAACAACUUAGCUUCUUAAAGUCCUGCCCCCACAACCCCUCACACCCAACCGCCCCGCCACCCGGAGUCUCCUGGAUUUCGGUAUCCAAAUGUUGACAGAAUCCAGUGAUGUUACACAGACACCAGUAUUAUGGGUUUCACAGGGUGAAUCUGCACAAAUGAACUGCAGUCAUACUAUGGGUGUAGGCUAUAACUACAUGUAUUGGUUUCAACAACGAAAGGGAGAAACAAUGAGACUCAUUGCUUUCACAAUGCUAGGCAGCAAGCCAGACUUUGGUGAAUUUUCUGUUGAUAAAUACUCAGCUGAAAAGACUGUAGCUGAUAAAGGGUCUUUCACAGUGAAGAAGCUGCAGCCCGAUGACAGUGGUGUGUAUUUCUGUGCAGUGAGUAAACACAGUGACACAGACCUACUGUGCUGCUGUACAAAAACCUAAAAUGUUCAUGCUCCCUAAACACAGAACAGGUGCUAUGACAGAUGUUAACAAUGACAAUGAAAUUUUGCAGUUUGUUUGCAGCGCCGCCAUAUAAUGAUUGUGACCACCAGCUUCCAAAUUAUAUAAUAAAUAAAUAAAUAAAUACCCAAAUUAAAUAAAUAAAUAAUAUCAGUUCAUUAAUAUUAUGACAAAAUUACCUGGUUGUUACUCCUCCUGCAAGAGUUGAUGGAGGUUGCAUGAUG